This 265-nucleotide unclassified non-coding RNA is filed under the name Hevea brasiliensis (rubber tree). The record is from RNAcentral. Lineage: Eukaryota; Viridiplantae; Streptophyta; Magnoliopsida; Malpighiales; Euphorbiaceae.
AUGAGUCUUCCAAUUUACUAUCUGCAUAAAAAGUAAUAAUAGUGCAAAAUUAAUUAAGAUUCUUCUAUUAUUUCCUUUUUUUUUAAAGGUUCUUUUAGGCUUAAUCUAUGAAGAAAAGGGAAGGAGGUAGGGGGUGGUUUCAGAAAUCACAAGUAACAAGCACAAGGAAAUAUCAAUAAAUCUAUCCGCAUCGAAAGUUUAAUUUAGAUAAGACAAAAAGGUACUAAUUAAUAUCUACAAUAUAUUUAAGGACAUAAAAGGGGGA